GACGAACGCUGGCGGCGUGCUUAACACAUGCAAGUCGAACGGUAAGGACAUACGGGGUAAACGAGUGGCGAACGGGUGAGUAACACGUGGCGGAUCUGCCCUGCACUUCGGGAUAAGCCUGGGAAACUGGGUCUAAUACCGGAUAGGACCCUGGGAUGCAUGUCCUGGGGUGGAAAGCUUUUGCGGUGUGGGAUGGGCCCGCGGCCUAUCAGCUUGUUGGUGGGGUGAUGGCCUACCAAGGCGACGACGGGUAGCCGGCCUGAGAGGGUGACCGGCCACACUGGGACUGAGAUACGGCCCAGACUCCUACGGGAGGCAGCAGUGGGGAAUAUUGCACAAUGGGCGCAAGCCGGAUGCAGCGACGCCGCGUGAGGGAUGACGGCCUUCGGGUUGUAAACCUCUUUCAGCACCGACGAAGCGCAAGUGACGGUAGGUGCAGAAGAAGGACCGGCCAACUACGUGCCAGCAGCCGCGGUAA
Molecule: ribosomal RNA, 478 nt
Filed under: uncultured bacterium
Lineage: Bacteria
Description: partial 16S ribosomal RNA
Rfam family: Bacterial small subunit ribosomal RNA
Source: RNAcentral